AUGGGCGACGUCCUGGUGAAGGAGCUCGGGCUACGGAACGGCGACCCGUCGCACUGGUACGAGGAGAAGAGCAGCGGCAGCGGCAAGGAGUGGUCGACUCCCGGCGGCCCCGGGCUGGGCAUGUCGAUCCUUGGCACGAGCAAGAGGUACUGCGCCGACGCCAGGAAGGCCCUGAGCCGGCUGGCCCGAUCGGGCACGGACGGCGGCGGCGGCGGUAGCCCGAGGAUGAGCAGGGAGAGGAGGAGCGGCAAGGCGGCCUCCUCGCCGCUGCACUCGACGUCCGGGCGGAUGCCGCAGCUGCAGCUGCAGGUGAAGCCGCCGUCCGAGUCGUGGCUCUGCCACGCGCGCGGGAGCAACACUGUGAACAGCAAAAGAUGA
This 378-nucleotide ribosomal RNA is filed under the name Triticum aestivum (bread wheat). RNAcentral describes it as "partial small subunit ribosomal RNA". Lineage: Eukaryota; Viridiplantae; Streptophyta; Magnoliopsida; Poales; Poaceae. The record is from RNAcentral.